AUACGUAGGGCGCGAGCGUUGUCCGGAAUUACUGGGCGUAAAGGGCGCGUAGGCGGCGCUUCAAGUCGUCUGUCAAAUGGGAGGGCUUAACCCUUUUUCGCAGACGAAACUGGAGAGCUUGAGAAGCAGAGAGGCAAACAGAAUUCCUGGUGUAGCGGUGAAAUGCGUAGAUAUCAGGAAGAAUACCAGUGGCGAAGGCGGUUUGCUGGCUGCAUACUGACGCUGAAGCGCGAAAGCCAGGGGAGCAAACGGGAUUAGAUACCCCGGUAGUCCUGGCAGUAAACGAUGUAUGCUGGGUGUGAGACUAGCGAUAGUUUCGUGCCGAAGUUAACGCGAUAAGCAUACCGCCUGGGGAGUACGGUCGCAAGAUUGAAACUUAAAGGAAUUGACGGGG
This 394-nucleotide ribosomal RNA is filed under the name uncultured bacterium. RNAcentral's name for it is "partial 16S ribosomal RNA". It matches the Rfam family "Bacterial small subunit ribosomal RNA", at positions 523 to 918 of the family's 1533-position model. The record is from RNAcentral.